This 26-nucleotide non-coding RNA is filed under the name Mus musculus (house mouse). Lineage: Eukaryota; Metazoa; Chordata; Mammalia; Rodentia; Muridae. The record is from RNAcentral.
UAUGAAGUGACAAAGACAGACCUCCA